GGCCUGAUAGCAAAGUGGUAAUGCCGGAGUCUGCAAAACUCCUAUGCGUCGGUUCAAUUCCGUCUCAGGCCUCCA
Molecule: transfer RNA, 75 nt
Filed under: Rickettsiales bacterium
Lineage: Bacteria; Pseudomonadati; Pseudomonadota; Alphaproteobacteria; Rickettsiales
Description: tRNA-Cys
Rfam family: tRNA
About the family: Transfer RNA (tRNA) molecules are approximately 80 nucleotides in length. Their secondary structure includes four short double-helical elements and three loops (D, anti-codon, and T loops).
Source: RNAcentral